Non-coding RNA from Mustela putorius furo (domestic ferret), 46 nucleotides. Lineage: Eukaryota; Metazoa; Chordata; Mammalia; Carnivora; Mustelidae. The record is from Rfam.
CCAAAGGCUCUUUUCAGAGCCACCACCUGGCCACAAAGGGUGCUGU